RNAcentral lists this ribosomal RNA (497 nucleotides) under uncultured bacterium. Its description in RNAcentral is "partial 16S ribosomal RNA". It matches the Rfam family "Bacterial small subunit ribosomal RNA", at positions 28 to 507 of the family's 1533-position model. The record is from RNAcentral.
GAUGAACGCUGGCGGCGUGCCUAAUACAUGCAAGUCGAGCGAACAGACGAGGAGCUUGCUCCUCUGACGUUAGCGGCGGACGGGUGAGUAACACGUGGAUAACCUACCUAUAAGACCGGGAUAACUUCGGGAAACCGGAGCUAAUACCGGAUAAUAUAUUGAACCGCAUGGUUCAAUAGUGAAAGACGGUUUUGCUGUCACUUAUAGAUGGAUCCGCGCCGCAUUAGCUAGUUGGUAAGGUAACGGCUUACCAAGGCAACGAUGCGUAGCCGACCUGAGAGGGUGAUCGGCCACACUGGAACUGAGACACGGUCCAGACUCCUACGGGAGGCAGCAGUAGGGAAUCUUCCGCAAUGGGCGAAAGCCUGACGGAGCAACGCCGCGUGAGUGGUGAAGGUCUUCGGAUCGUAAAACUCUGUUAUUAGGGAAGAACAAAUGUGUAAGUAACUAUGCACGUCUUGACGGUACCUAAUCAGAAAGCCACGGCUAACUACGUG